CGCCAGCAGAGGGAAUGGCGGAGGAUGGCAGCGCGGAAGGGCAGAAUGGCGGGACAGCAGGUCAGGGUCUGCAGGCAGAAGGAGACAUGGGAACGGGAGCCCAGCAGGGAACCGGAGCAAUAGGAGGAGGUCAGCUUCUCGGGACAGGUGGCUACGGCGCCGGCGCAGUGAGUCAGGGUCGUCUGAGAGGAUCCACACGGCGCGGAGGAGGAGAAGUAGCGAGCGGGAGGGACGAUGCAGGCAGGGAAGUGGUGAGGACGGGUCUGAUCACGGGAAUGAAGGGCGGGUGAGGCUGCAGUCGGACAGAUCACCCAGGCUGUAUUCUCCUUGCAGGUCGUUGAGUAGGACGCCCACGAGAGCAACACACGAACAGGCGGGCAGGAGUCGGCGUCCCCUGGUUCCUUCUGGGUCAGCUGUCGUGGUGGAAAAAGUGGCGCCCCCGCGGCCAGCAGCGGCCGGGGGCUUGAGCGGUGAGUCUCCAACUGCAUCACACUCGGGAAGCUUACUUGGAUGUUUAAGAUCUCUGUUAGAUUCAUGGUCUGGGGACGGGGGGUCUCCGACACAGUUUGAGAAAGUGUGGGUUGCGGAUGGCGGUCGG
This is a non-coding RNA of Pelobates cultripes (western spadefoot toad), 598 nucleotides long. The record is from the annotation of a GenBank genome assembly. Lineage: Eukaryota; Metazoa; Chordata; Amphibia; Anura; Pelobatidae.